UUGCAGCUCCUCCCAGAACGGUGCAUGUAAACAACAGAAGCAGAGCUCACACAACUGGGAAAUAUUACCCAAAGAAACACUGGGUAUUGUUAAUUAAGUUUUAAUGUGUGUUAAAAGCGCUCCAAAUUCACGUUUUUAAAAUGAUGAGAGGAAGUCGGUGCGAUCAAAGAGCGAACAGCAGCCAUCAGAGAAAAAAGAUUGGAGUCGACCUACGGUAGUGCUGUAUUGGAAAGGGACGAAAGCAACCAGAUGGUUCUAAUGACGAAACAAGCAUGCGCAGCGAUCCCUGCCAGAAACAAUUUCCUGGAAGCCAAAGCUCACCUGCAUGAAGGCCCGCUUCUGCGCCAUUCAUGAACAUGUGGAAGAAGUCACCUGACUAAAUGAGUUGACGCUCACGAUUGACAACAUCCUCUGAGGGCACAAGUGCACCUUUAUUGACUGACCAUGUUGGUCGCCAAUCUACACCCUGAGGAGGAUGCGUUUCCCCCUUGAGCCUGGUUCCUUCUGAGGUUUCUCCCCAUCUGCCACAGGGAUUUUUUCCUUGCCACUGUUGCUUUAGGCUUGCUCCUGUGGGGGUUUAGGCUAGGGUUACUGUGAAGCGUAUUGUAACAAUAUCUGUGAAAUACGCUAUAUAAAUAAAAUUUGAUUGAUUGAUUGAUUGCUUACCGAACAGCAGCAAAGUACUGAUGUUAUUCAGACACUUACCGUCUCACUGCGGCAUAGGGAGUGUGCUGGGUAAUCCAGUUACACCUAACUGAGCCUGAGACUGCAGAUUUCCCUUUGAAAGGUCCUACAGGCAGCACAAAGGUCUCAUAAUUUGUGCCCACGGAGGUUGCAGGAUGAAAUAGCACUGAAAACAAUGUGGUAGUCAAACAUAGGUUGAUUCAUUAAAUACUGUUCUUCAGUCGUACGCAGGCUGAUUUAUUAAAUACUGUUCCGCAGUCAUACGCAGGCUAAUUUUUAAAAUAUUUACUCAGUCAUAUGCAGCUGAUUUAUUAAAUACUGUUCUUCAGGCAUACAUAGGGUGAUUUAUUAAUUACUGUUUCUGGCUUUACACUGCACUAGCCAUCUUUCUCUGCUCACUGGCCGAUGGAAGUGAAAGGAUUUGUGGGAUGGAGACGGUGGAUGAACGUGCACAAUGUGCGCCUGCUGUGGGGGGCUGGGAUUCAUAAGGAUGCUGCAUAGAGACUGUGAUUUAUACAGGUGUUGCAUAGAGACUGUGAUUCAUACAGGUGCUGCAUAGAGACUGGGAUUCAUACAGGUGCCGCAUAGAGACUGGGAUUCAUACAGGUGUCGCAUAGAGACUGGGAUUCAUACAGGUGUCGCAUUGAGACUGGGAUUCAUACCGGUGCACUGAAUAGAGGCAGAGACAUACAGGCACGCUAAACAGAUGGAGGGAGUUAGAAAAGCACUGACAGCUCCGUUUUUAUUCUCAAUCAUUAUCUGUAUAAUAAGAGCCCAUUUAUUAUACUCUAUGAGCAGUGGGGAAUGCAGCAGCAGCGCCUGUUCCUUCCUCCCUUCACCAGGGGUGUUUCCUUAAGAACAUCUGACGGCUCCUACUAACAGAAAUAAAAGCUGGGCGUUUUUCGGAUGCUGAGCAGGCACUGUGUUCCGCUUGAGACAGGCAGAAUAAGGCAUGCCUGUUUAUGUCAGGCAUGGCACCCAUCAAGCCCAAACUCACCUGCAUGGCAAAAUGUCCGCCCACAGGAAUUUGGCAAUUGGAUACAACCUGGGCUCACGCCACAUUCUCCUCACUGCAUGGUUUCCAUAGCAAUUCUAAUGCCAGUUCAUCAUGGCUGACCAUGCCACCUGUUUGGUCUCUAGACAGGACAGAAAGACAACUGGUCAGUAAAUGGUUAAUUAACAGACAUUUCAAAAUCAGGUUUGUUUUUUGCCACCAUGAAGUGCAAAUGGAUUUUGCUCUUUUCCUCUCACGCUCACUACCACACAGAUCAGGGAGGUAGAAGGCAUUGUUCUUCCUAUGCUCUUCAGUCACCUGUGCAGUGUGAUAAGACCUUGAGUUCCAUAACGCUUAAGUUUAAAAAGCACCAACCACCUAAACAGGGAGAGUGAUAGUCAAGGGCCUCACAAAUCACAGAUAUUUGAGUUUGUACGCACAUAUUAAAAAGCAUUACUGAUUGAAUGUGUUGUAGGGGUGAUCUAGGAGUGGUAGAAGAUGAAAUUCAUUAUGCAACAACUGAUUAAAAUGUCAAGAAAACAACUCAUUUAUCCUUGCAAGCCUAUCAGAAAAUGUUCAUUGGUUUUUGAAAGACUUUAAUCUUGCAGUCUUUGUUCGAGGUGCCUGAUUAAAGUACCUGUAUGUGUCAUAUAUUCCUUUUCUGUGAGUUGUGGUUUAUUUAGCUGUGUUAAACUGUUCAUGGUGAUCUGCAUGUUCUGUAAGCCCAUUGAUUACAGUAAGUAGUGGUUUUGUACUGAUAUUUAUCACUGAUAUUGAUGAUUAAUAAGGACAUGAGCAUUUUACUCACCCAUGAGGGGCAAUACAUAAGACAGUAAAUCUUUAAAUUGUCUGUUCCUGCAAGACCAUACAAGGACAGUAAAUUCUUAAGUUUAUUCAGCAUUGAAUAACCACCUCUUUUUCAAAUCUAUCAAACCGAUUACAGAAGUUAUAGACGAUGGUCAUCGGCUUCAACCCUAAAAGCUGUGACCCAUUGCAGAGCCAAAGCAGAGUUACCUGGGCACAGAUGGGACCCAUCUGCUCUUCUGCAGGGAUGCCAUGUAACAGAUUUCAACAAACCAAUCAGGAGGCAAUGGUUUUUGGUGUUGCCAGGCAACCAGAAGGCACUGGAAAUAUACUUUCCUACUCAAACUCUUACACCUGGGGGGUGGUAGUGAGGAUACACUGAAAGUUGGUUUUAGAAACUUCUGCCAUGCAUCUCUUCAGUGCAAAGUGAAGGAACAGCAGGGGCAGGAAGUGAAGCGGAAAGAUCAUGUGAUGAGGGUAAGGGUGUGUGGCAUGAGGUUCCCAUCAAACGUCUGGCCUUCAGGACAUCCAUCAGUGAUGGCCUGAAUCAUUCCAUAGAAAACAACAGUGCACACUGCACUGUCAGAUGCAGCACAUGCACAUACUGCACUGUCAGGGGUAUAGCAUGCACAUUGCACAUUGCAGUCAGACAAGCAGUGCAUGCACACACACUGCACUAUCAGACAUGCAGCGCAAGCACACACUGCUAUCAAACAUGCAGUGCAUGCACACACUGCGCUAUCAGACAUCCGGUGCAUGCACACACACACACACCGCUAUCAGACAUGCAGUGCAAGCAUACACUGCUAUCAAACAUGCAGUGCAUGCACACACACUGCGCUAUCAGAUAUGCAGUGCAAGCACAUACUGCACUAUCAGACAUGCAGUGCAAGCACACACUGCUAUCAAACAUGCAGUGCAAGCACACACUGCUAUCAAACAUGCAGUGCAUGCACGCACUCACUGCUAUCAAACAUGCAGUGCAUGCACGCACACUGUGCUAUCAGACAUGAAGUGCAUGCACACACACUGCGCUAUCAGACAUGCAGUGCAAGCACACACCGCUAUCAAACAUGCAGUGCAUGCACACACACACGCACUGCGCUAUCAGACACAAAGUGCAUGCACACACUGUGCUAUCAGACAUGCAGUGCAUGCACACACUGUGCUAUCAGACAUGCAGUGCAUGCACACGCACACUGCGCUAUCAGACAUGCAGUGCAUGCACACGCACACUGCGCUAUCAGACAUGCAGUGCAUGCACACGCACACUGCACUAUCAGACAUGCAGUGCAUGCAUACACACUGCCCUAUCAGACGCAGAGAGUGCACAUGCCGGGUGGUAACGUCCAUCCGGUGUGGCACAGCUGGGCUGAUCAUGUCCUUUGGCUGCACUCUGAUACUGAGGGAACUCAAGGUUGGUCCUCCUCCCUGUUGGUUUGGAUUUUGCAUCGAAGUUAAAGUCUGAACAUCAAGUUGACUCUGAGUGCUCUAACUGUCCCACACGUAUUGACUGGUCUAGAGGAAAUGGGCUGCUUCCAUCACCAGCCCCGCCCAAAUGAGUACCACUUUUAACAUCCCACCCAACCCCCCACACAGUCUGCCCCAGACUCCCCCUCUGGCGUCAGUAAGGGAGGUGGUAGAAGAGGGUACUGAACCGUGCAAUGCUGCUGUCCCAGAAUACUGUGCCUGCAGCAAUGCAGCACAGCCCAUUUAAAAGCAUGUGACUGAUGCAGAUGUAGGCACGCAUGGCCAGAGCAGUCCCCACAAGCCAUAUGGACCUGCCCUGCACACACACACACAUGCACACUCACGCUACUCACCCCACUGCAUGUGCGUGCACACGUGCACAUGCACACACACACAUAUGCACACUCACGCAACUCAAUAGUAUUCUGCCGUCUUUGUUCACGGCUCCUAGUAUUCUGUCAAUAAUAAAUAACUGCCUAGUAAAUGGCUUUGUUCCAUCCUGUUUUAAACACGCAGUGGUCCACCGUCUUGUUAAAAAGGCCAACCUAGACCCGGCAGUUUUUAACAAUUUCCAACCCAUUUCUAAACUGCCAUUUUUAUCAAAGAUUCUGGAAAAGGUUGUUUUUUCAGUUUUCUCCCCAUUUAAAUGACAAUUACAUUUUGGAAACAUUUUAGUCAGGAUUUAGGCCACACCAUAGCUCUGAGUCGGCUCUCCUUAAGGUGUCUAAUGACUUACACUUGUCCAUUGAUUCAGGAAGCUGUGCUAUUUUAAUUCUGUUGGAUCUUAGCGCUGCUCUUGACAGUUGAUCACACUAUUCUCUUGGACCACCUUAAGCAUGGUUGGUUGGUAUCUAGGGUACUGCCUUACAAUGGUUUGCAUCCUACUUAAAUAAUAGAACAUUUUCUGUUAAAAUAGGGAACUCUUCUUCUUCCACGGCACCUAUCACUUGUGGAGUACCUCAAGGUUCUAUUUUAGGUCCUAUUUUAUUUUCUCUGUAUAUGCUCCCCCUUGGUUCUGUUUUUCAUAAGCAUAGAAUUUCCUACCACUGUUACGCUGAUGACACACAGCUGUACCUGCCGCUGAAACCCGGUGAUGAUCUUUCCAUUAAGUCUGUCCUUGAUUGCUUUGAGGACAUUAAAAGUUGGAUAGUGAAAAACCUUCUCCAGCUUAACAAGAAAAAGACGAAGGUUAUCAUAUUUCGUCCUCCUGACUCCACCAGAGGUUUAGCCACCAACCUAGGUGCUGUCCUCAAAUCUGCAUACGUGUGCAAAAAAUCUUGGUGUCAUCUUUGAUUCAGCCCUAAAAUUUGACAAACAAAUCAACUCUGUUGUGCAUGGUAGCUUCUUCCAGCUUAGAGCCAUUGCAAAGCUAAAAUCUUUCCUCUCAUUUAAGGAUCUGGAGAUUGUCUCACAUGCCUUCAUUUCCUCCCGUAUUGAUUACUGUAAUUCCCUUUACAUGGGAGUCAGUCAGUCAUCCCUAUCUUGGCUGCAGUUAGUGCAAAAUGCAGCUGCUAGGCUCCUGACUAGCACUAGGAUGAGGGACCACAUCUCCUCUAUAUUGGCCUCUCUUUACUGGCUGCCUUUCAAAUACAGAAUCGGGAAGGUUUUAUUAUUUGUUUUGAAAGCACUAUAUGGUUUGGCACCACAUUAUAUCUCUGACCUCCUUUGCCCCUAUUCCACCUUCAGGCCUCUCAGAUCCUCUGACCAAUUGCUCCAGUCUGUUCCUCGGUCCCAGUUAAAAACCAAGGGCGAUCGUGCCUUCUCCAAUGCUGCCCCAAGGCUCUGGAAUAGUCUACCAUGUUCUAUUAGGUUUUCCCACUCCAUUGACUCUUUUAAAUCCCACAUAAAAACACACCUUUUUACAUUGGCGUAUUAGUCUUAAUGCUUGGCAUGUGUUGUGUCUUUGUGUAUUGUAUUUUAUACCUUUUAUUUUAUUUAUUUUAUGCAUCUUUUUAAUUUUCAUUGUACAGCACUUUGGCCAACUUCUGUUGUUUUUAAAUGUGCUUUAUAAAUAAACUUGACUUGACCUGAA
Long non-coding RNA from Anguilla rostrata (American eel), 5984 nucleotides. RefSeq lists it as uncharacterized. The record is from RefSeq and is a predicted model, not a curated record. The transcript is spliced from 4 exons. Lineage: Eukaryota; Metazoa; Chordata; Actinopteri; Anguilliformes; Anguillidae.